This 490-nucleotide ribosomal RNA is filed under the name uncultured bacterium. RNAcentral's name for it is "partial 16S ribosomal RNA". It matches the Rfam family "Bacterial small subunit ribosomal RNA", at positions 30 to 507 of the family's 1533-position model. The record is from RNAcentral.
AUUGAACGCUGGCGGCAGGCCUAACACAUGCAAGUCGAACGGUAACAGGAAGAAGCUUGCUUCUUUGCUGACGAGUGGCGGACGGGUGAGUAAUGUCUGGGAAACUGCCUGAUGGAGGGGGAUAACUACUGGAAACGGUAGCUAAUACCGCAUAACGUCGCAUGACCAAAGAGGGGGACCUUCGGGCCUCUUGCCAUCGGAUGUGCCCAGAUGGGAUUAGCUAGUAGGUGGGGUAACGGCUCACCUAGGCGACGAUCCCUAGCUGGUCUGAGAGGAUGACCAGCCACACUGGAACUGAGACACGGUCCAGACUCCUACGGGAGGCAGCAGUGGGGAAUAUUGCACAAAGGGCGCAAGCCUGAUGCAGCCAUGCCGCGUGUAUGAAGAAGGCCUUCGGGUUGUAAAGUACUUUCAGCGGGGAGGAAGGGAGUAAAGUUAAUACCUUUGCUCAUUGACGUUACCCGCAGAAGAAGCACCGGCUAACUCCGUG